GAUAAACGCUGGCGGCGUGCCUAAUACAUGCAAGUCGUGCGGUAAGGCCCCUUCGGGGGUACGCGAGCGGCGGACGGCAGAGUAACGCGUAGGAACGUACCCCAAAGUGAGGGAUAACUGCUCGAAAGAGUAGCUAAUACCGCAUAUGAUCUUCGGAUUAAAGCAGCAAUGCGCUUUGGGAACGGCCUGCGUCCGAUUAGCUAGUUGGUAGAGUAAUAGCCUACCAAGGCGACGAUCGGUAGCUGGUCUGAGAGGAUGAUCAGCCUGACUGGAACUGAGACACGGUCCAGACUCCUACGGGAGGCAGCAGUGGGGAAUUUUGGACAAUGGGCGAAAGCCUGAUCCAGCCAUUCCGCGUGCAGGAUGAAGGCCCUCGGGUUGUAAACUGCUUUUGUACAGAACGAAAAGGUUUCUACUAAUACUAGGAGCUCAUGACGGUACUGUAAGAAUAAGCACCGGCUAACUACGUGCCAGCCGCCGCGGUAA
This 486-nucleotide ribosomal RNA is filed under the name uncultured bacterium. Its description in RNAcentral is "partial 16S ribosomal RNA". It matches the Rfam family "Bacterial small subunit ribosomal RNA", at positions 28 to 523 of the family's 1533-position model. The record is from RNAcentral.